GCCACCAUAGCUCCAAUGGCAGAGCGGCUGAUUUGUAAUCAGUAGGUUCUCGGUUCGAAUCCGAGUGGUGGCU
This 73-nucleotide transfer RNA is filed under the name bacterium. RNAcentral's name for it is "tRNA-Thr". It matches the Rfam family "tRNA". From Rfam's summary of the family: Transfer RNA (tRNA) molecules are approximately 80 nucleotides in length. Their secondary structure includes four short double-helical elements and three loops (D, anti-codon, and T loops). The record is from RNAcentral. RNAcentral also lists the same sequence under 2 other names.